GAUGAACGCUGGCGGCGUGCCUAAUACAUGCAAGUCGAGCGAACGGACGAGAAGCUUGCUUCUCUGAUGUUAGCGGCGGACGGGUGAGUAACACGUGGAUAACCUACCUAUAAGACUGGGAUAACUUCGGGAAACCGGAGCUAAUACCGGAUGAUAUUUUGAACCGCAUGGUUCAAAAGUGAAAGACGGUCUUGCUGUCACUUAUAGAUGGAUCCGCGCUGCAUUAGCUAGUUGGUAAGGUAACGGCUUACCAAGGCAACGAUGCAUAGCCGACCUGAGAGGGUGAUCGGCCACACUGGAACUGAGACACGGUCCAGACUCCUACGGGAGGCAGCAGUAGGGAAUCUUCCACAAUGGGCGGAAGCCUGACGGAGCAACGCCGCGUGAGUGAUGAAGGUCUUCGGAUCGUAAAACUCUGUUAUUAGGGAAGAACAUAUGUGUAAGUAACUGUGCACAUCUUGACGGUACCUAAUCAGAAAGCCACGGCUAACUACGUG
This 497-nucleotide ribosomal RNA is filed under the name uncultured bacterium. RNAcentral describes it as "partial 16S ribosomal RNA". It matches the Rfam family "Bacterial small subunit ribosomal RNA", at positions 28 to 507 of the family's 1533-position model. The record is from RNAcentral.